ACCUUUCAUACCACCCUGAACAUGCCCAAUCUCAUCUGAUCUCAGAAGUUAAGCAGGCUUGUGCCUGGAUAGUACUUGGAUGGGAGACCUCUUGGGAAUACCGGGUGUUACAGGCU
Loxodonta africana (African savanna elephant) is the source of this 116-nucleotide non-coding RNA. The record is from Rfam. NCBI's taxonomy places the organism in Eukaryota, Metazoa, Chordata, Mammalia, Proboscidea, Elephantidae.